UGGGGAAUAUUGCACAAUGGGCGCAAGCCUGAUGCAGCCAUGCCGCGUGUGUGAAGAAGGCCUUCGGGUUGUAAAGCACUUUCAGCGGGGAGGAAGGCGGUGAGGUUAAUAACCUCAUCGAUUGACGUUACCCGCAGAAGAAGCACCGGCUAACUCCGUGCCAGCAGCCGCGGUAAUACGGAGGGUGCUAGCGUUAAUCGGAAUUACUGGGCGUAAAGCGCACGCAGGCGGUCUGUCAAGUCGGAUGUGAAAUCCCCGGGCUCAACCUGGGAACUGCAUCUGAUACUGGCAAGCUUGAGUCUCGUAGAGGGGGGUAGAAUUCCAGGUGUAGCGGUGAAAUGCGUAGAGAUCUGGAGGAAUACCGGUGGCGAAGGCGGCCCCCUGGACGAAGACUGACGCUCAGGUGCGAAAGCGUGGGGAGCAAACAGG
Molecule: ribosomal RNA, 429 nt
Filed under: Chloroflexota bacterium
Lineage: Bacteria; Bacillati; Chloroflexota
Description: Chloroflexi bacterium partial 16S ribosomal RNA
Rfam family: Bacterial small subunit ribosomal RNA
Source: RNAcentral